RNAcentral lists this non-coding RNA (235 nucleotides) under Hyphomicrobiales bacterium. The record is from RNAcentral. Lineage: Bacteria; Pseudomonadati; Pseudomonadota; Alphaproteobacteria; Hyphomicrobiales.
CAUUAUGUGCGUGUCGACGGUUCCCCGACCAUGAGGUGGAGGGGAUUAAUAGGGAACACGGUGCGGAAGACCCCAGGAGGGGCCAAGACCGUGGCUGCCCCCGCAACUGUGAGCGGAUUGCCUUUCGUCCCCGGACAUCGAAACGAUGUCGUGCCACUGUGCCGCAAGGCGCGGGAAGGUAGACGAAAGGCAGAUAUCUGCGAGCCAGGAGACCUGCCGUCGCGCUUUGAUCCAA